GAACGCUGGCGGCGUGCCUAAUACAUGCAAGUCGAGCGAACAGAUAAGGAGCUUGCUCCUUUGACGUUAGCGGCGGACGGGUGAGUAACACGUGGGUAACCUACCUAUAAGACUGGGAUAACUUCGGGAAACCGGAGCUAAUACCGGAUAACAUUUGGAACCGCAUGGUUCUAAAGUGAAAGAUGGUUUUGCUAUCACUUAUAGAUGGACCCGCGCCGUAUUAGCUAGUUGGUAAGGUAACGGCUUACCAAGGCAACGAUACGUAGCCGACCUGAGAGGGUGAUCGGCCACACUGGAACUGAGACACGGUCCAGACUCCUACGGGAGGCAGCAGUAGGGAACCUUCCGCAAUGGGCGAAAGCCUGACGGAGCAACGCCGCGUGAGUGAUGAAGGGUUUCGGCUCGUAAAACUCUGUUAUUAGGGAAGAACAAACGUGUAAGUAACUAUGCACGUCUUGACGGUACCUAAUCAGAAAGCCACGGCUAACUACGUGCCAGCAGCCGCGGUAAUACGUAGGUGGCAAGCGUUAUCCGGAAUUAUUGGGCGUAAAGCGCGCGUAGGCGGUUUCUUAAGUCUGAUGUGAAAGCCCACGGCUCAACCGUGGAGGGUCAUUGGAAACUGGGAAACUUGAGUGCAGAAGAGGAAAGUGGAAUUCCAUGUGUAGCCGUGAAAUGCGCAGAGAUAUGGAGGAACACCAGUGGCGAAGGCGACUUUCUGGUCUGUAACUGACGCUGAUGUGCGAAAGCGUGGGGAUCAAACAGGAUUAGAUACCCUGGUAGUCCACGCCGUAAACGAUGAGUGCUAAGUGUUAGGGGGUUUCCGCCCCUUAGUGCUGCAGCUAACGCAUUAAGCACUCCGCCUGGGGAGUACGACCGCAAGGUUGAAACUCAAAGGAAUUGACGG
This 904-nucleotide ribosomal RNA is filed under the name uncultured Staphylococcus sp. RNAcentral describes it as "bacterial SSU rRNA". It matches the Rfam family "Bacterial small subunit ribosomal RNA", at positions 31 to 916 of the family's 1533-position model. The record is from RNAcentral. Lineage: Bacteria; Bacillati; Bacillota; Bacilli; Caryophanales; Staphylococcaceae.